GGAAGAGAGAGGGAGAGAGAGAGAGAGAGAGAUUCUUCAAAUAAUGUAGCUUAUCACCUUUCCGCAUGUUUGUAAAUAAAUUAAUGUUUUAAUGUACACUCUAUUUUACAACUGUCUUUCACAGGUAUAGGAACACCAUUAUAUUUGUUAUACAUACACAUCCACACCUGGUAGUAUAGAUGUGUACAGGAGGAAGCAACUGUUAAUGUGGGUAUGCAUGUCGCUAUGUAUUUUUUACAUGUUAAAGUGUUAUGAAAUGCACAGGACAAACCAGUCAGUGAGAUGAUAUUUUGUUUAUAGUUGUGGUGUGUGUAUGUGUUUGAGGCAUCAGUGUACAGUUAUGGUGAUGCAAAUUUUGCCCUGAAACAGCAUUAUAUAUAUAUAUAUAUAUAUAUAUAUAUAUAUAUAUAUAUAUAUAUAUAUAUAUAUAUAUAUAUAUAUAUAUAUAUAUAUAUAUAUAUAUAUAUAUAUAUACACACACACACACACACACACACACACACACACACACACACACACACACACACACACACACACACACACACACAGUCAAACUCUCGAUUAACGCGAGAAUUACGUUCCUGGAAAUGUGUUAUUCAAAUGUGAUUUUCCCAUAGGAAACAAUGGUAAUGGGAGGGGGUUACGUUCCUGGCCAUUGGGAAAGUCUACCUAUUUUGGGGAUUUUGUUACUCAAAUCUUUAAAAAGAAAAAAAAAGAAAAAAAAAAUGAAUACAUCAAUAGGUCAUGGAAACAAUAAAAACACAUUCUCAUUUGUGCAUCUUUCUUCUCCGGUAAAUUAGAAAAUUAUUAUUUCAGUGUAAUUUGUCGUAUGAUUUUUAUAAGCCAGGAACAUUAUCCCUUAUUCAAACAUUUAUUAUUAGUGCAUUUAAUGAAAUAAACCAUGAGUAUAAUUGGGUGGUGGUUGGUAGCAGUGUUUACUAUCUACUCAGCUAAUUUAGCCACACAGUCCAGACCAUGCUGUCUCACUGUUCUGCCACAGGCAACAUGGAAAAUUCUACAAAGAGAACCAGCCUUAUUACUGCUGAAGAGCAUAAUAUAUUAACAGACUUAGUGAGCCAGGAAAAGGUGCUUCUAAAUAAAAGCACAGAUGGCCAUAAAAUGUAGCCUUAACAUGGGAGAGAAUCGCCACCUCCUUCAACUGUGAAAACUAUGGGAAGUGGACAGUCCACCAGCUAUCUACAUAAAUUGGUACUUAUCAGGCAAUAAAGACAUAUAACUGAUCAUAAGCUAAGUAUGAUUCUGAUAGAAAACUUGGGAGAUGGAGAUGCGGUGAUGCAAGCUAUACACACACACACACACACACACACACACACACACACACACACAGGUAUUUCUCAAUUUAUGGUGUUCAGAUUACAGUAAAGACUCAAUAUUUGAACAUCUUGGAAGUCAAACUUUUGAUGCUCAAAUGCAAAAGUUCGACUUGGUACUUGAAAAUAUAUCUGAUAAUAUCCACACGCAGUUAUAAACAAAGGCUCCUGGGGUGGAAUCCAUGGAACUUGUCAGUAGCAUGUCGGUAAUAACAAAGCCUUAGCGAAUGAACAGCUCUGAUAGUAAACAGUGGUUGGCAAGUGGCUAUGAUUUAUGGUUGAAUGUUAAUUCAAUAACAGUAGUUACUAGAAUAGCAGGAAGUUCAUAAAUAUUGUUGUGAUUGUGGCAGCUGGCUGCUGGACAUUUGUCUUGCCCAUUGGUGGGCUGGUGGCACGGGCAAAUUUGCUCUGUCAUCUUGAUAUUUAUUUGCACUAUUCCAUGCAAGUUUUCAUUAUGUGCAUAACAAAAUCAUGUUUCUUGUGUGGCAAAGCUUGGAUGAGGCUAAAAAAAAAAAGUAAUUUUGCGUACAUCAGUAUUUACAUACCACACCUCAGAAGGUGUAGUUAUUAGUGACGUACGUAAUAAAGAAAUAAUGAUUUCUUACCGACAUUCCAUGCAUUCAUGGAUACCAUUUUCAGUUAGGGGUACGCUUUCACAUCAGUAAUGUGUCAUUAAAGAACAUGAGAACAUAA
This 2024-nucleotide long non-coding RNA is filed under the name Portunus trituberculatus (swimming crab). Its description in RNAcentral is "uncharacterized LOC123517911". Lineage: Eukaryota; Metazoa; Arthropoda; Malacostraca; Decapoda; Portunidae. The record is from RNAcentral.